GGCAACGGCUGGGCGGGCGGGGGAGAGGGGAGGUGCAGGAGCCCCUUGGCCUCCCGGGAGCAUCUAUGCUACCUGAGCUGUGCGCCCGAUGCCUCCUCCCCUCCCAUCCCACCAAUGGAGGGGACUCAACUGGGCAAAGCAGCAGAGAGAUUCAGACUGAGCAGCGAAUCUGUCUUGUGACAAGGGACAUGUAUGAGGGUCACAGAGGCUAAAUGUAAAAUGAGAACGGAGUCUUCAGGGAGACAAGCCGCACACCCUGAGCUGGCUGGAGCAUCCCAAAGCUGUCUCCCGGCCCUCGGUGGGCCCUGAGAUAGCCUGUCCUGCUGCUGAAGGCUGGUUAUAUUGCCGAGGGACACUCUUCUGAGGACCGUAAAUACUUCCUGGACUCAAAGGAGCUGGUUUCCCGCACACAUCCCCUAGCACCAAAUUACUGGAGUGGCUCCUUGCUGAAGGACUAGCCAUAAGUCAGGCUUCACCAAAGCACUUUUAUGAGCGCCUUAAUGAGGGAGAUGAGCUGUCAUCAGGAACUUGCCCAGCCUUCCUGGCCACAGGAAAUGAGCUCUUUGUGCUCAAAGGGCUUCCAAAGCCCAAGCGCAAAGAGGCUUCAGGAAGUGGGGUGAGUUGAGAAGCUGUUGGCUCACAGAAUCCCAGGGCUAAACAGCCCCCAUCCUGCCAUUCGCUUCAAAGGCUCAAAUUACUCAGGGCCUUAUUGCAGCAAUAGCACCACCGAAAGUUGGCCUGUGCGUGGGGAUGCCAAUCCCUGGCCUUCCCCAACAUGGGAGCCCUCCACCAACAGCCAGCUUGUUCCCCCCUGCCACAGGAUCCCCACCCCCACACCCUAAGCCAAGACAUCCUACAGUAUGAAGCCAUGUGCGAGGGGUUGGCUCCUAGAACACAAGAACCAGGUGGGAGCCCUGCCUCAGCACUGGGCCACGCAUGCAUUGUUAGGAAACUGCCUCUCUGUUUCCUCUGAGGUUAGAAAUAGGAACAGGGUCUGUGAAGUAGACUCUGAGUAUGCAGGGAGUCACUAAUGCAGAGGGCUCAGCACAUUCUGCAGGCAGCACUGGGCAUGUAAGCAGGGUAAGCCCAGUGACAACAACAUCCUUUCCAGAGAGAGCAACAGCAGCCUCAGUGAGUGCCCUGGUCCUUCUCCCCUCAGAGGCCUGCCCCCUGCUCACCUGCUGCGUUUAUAAACACUGCUGCUUAGGGAGAGCAAGAACCAGGCUAUUUUACAGCUCUGAGCUAUUGUGCUGUUCUCAGCAUUCAGUUGGCAAAUACCAGGUGAGAAGUGAUGAGGACCUGGGUUGGACAUUUUCGGUCCAUCUUGAUCAGAGUCACCUUGCUGUGUGUUACUUGGCUGUUGCUGGUGAGCAUCUCAGCCCUCUCCUAACACAGCUCAUUGAGCGAGCGUGUACCUUGGCCUUGCAUUCUCAACCAGGAUCAAAGGGUUUAUGGGAAAAUGGAAUUAAAAGAGAAGAUUAUUUUGGCAUGAAGUAAAAACUCAAGUGCCAUUAUUUCCUGCUAGGCGUUUUCCAUGAACUCUUUCAAGUGCUUGUUCAGUACCGUAUUUAACCUUCACAACUCGGCUAAGGCCCAGAGAGAUGGAAUAACCAAGAUCAUGGUGGAAGUCACUUAGUAGAACCAGGAUUCUAACCAGGUCUACCUGAUUGGCAAGUCCAAACUAAUAACCCAGCGGGAUUAUAUACAAGCCUCGCAGCCCAUGGGUGCCAGGGAGUGUGGAUCGCAUUUAGUGUUCUUGCCCCACCCUUAACCACACCCUCAAGUCUCCUACUAGUGUCUAAUGCAGUAAAUGCUCCCUAUAUAUUUGUGGAAUGAGUGAAAAUAAAUGACUGUGACCUCUUCUUGCAGUAAUGGACCCUCUUUUUGCUCUGGGGCUGUCCUUAGAGGGAAAGAAA
Molecule: long non-coding RNA, 1916 nt
Organism: Ochotona princeps (American pika)
Lineage: Eukaryota; Metazoa; Chordata; Mammalia; Lagomorpha; Ochotonidae
Exons: 3
Source: RefSeq, a predicted model, not a curated record